GGGUUGUGAGGUUAAGCGACUAAGCGUACACGGUGGAUGCCCUGGCAGUCAGAGGCGAUGAAGGGCGUGCUAAUCUGCGAUAAGCGCCGGUAAGGUGAUAUGAACCGUUAUAACCGGCGAUACCCGAAUGGGGAAACCCAGUGUGAUUCGUCACACUAUCAUUAACUGAAUUCAUAGGUUAAUGAGGCGAACCGGGGGAACUGAAACAUCUAAGUACCCCGAGGAAAAGAAAUCAACCGAGAUUCCCCCAGUAGCGGCGAGCGAACGGGGAGGAGCCCAGAGCCUGAAUCAGCAUGUGUGUUAGUGGAAGCGUCUGGAAAGUCGCGCGAUACAGGGUGACAGCCCCGUACACAAAAGCGCAUGUGCUGUGAGCUCGAUGAGUAGGGCGGGACACGUGGUAUCCUGUCUGAAUAUGGGGGGACCAUCCUCCAAGGCUAAAUACUCCUGACUGACCGAUAGUGAACCAGUACCGUGAGGGAAAGGCGAAAAGAACCCCGGCGAGGGGAGUGAAACAGAACCUGAAACCGUGUACGUACAAGCAGUGGGAGCACAGGUUUACCUGUGUGACUGCGUACCUUUUGUAUAAUGGGUCAGCGACUUAUAUUCUGUAGCAAGGUUAACCGAAUAGGGGAGCCGGAGGGAAACCGAGUCUUAAUUGGGCGUUAAGUUGCAGGGUAUAGACCCGAAACCCGGUGAUCUAGCCAUGGGCAGGUUGAAGGUUGGGUAACACUAACUGGAGGACCGAACCGACUAAUGUUGAAAAAUUAGCGGAUGACCUGUGGCUGGGGGUGAAAGGCCAAUCAAACCGGGAGAUAGCUGGUUCUCCCCGAAAGCUAUUUAGGUAGCGCCUCGUGAAUUCAUC
Molecule: ribosomal RNA, 862 nt
Filed under: Salmonella enterica subsp. enterica serovar Paratyphi B
Lineage: Bacteria; Pseudomonadati; Pseudomonadota; Gammaproteobacteria; Enterobacterales; Enterobacteriaceae
Description: bacterial LSU rRNA
Rfam family: Bacterial large subunit ribosomal RNA
Source: RNAcentral